Molecule: ribosomal RNA, 402 nt
Filed under: uncultured bacterium
Lineage: Bacteria
Description: bacterial SSU rRNA
Rfam family: Bacterial small subunit ribosomal RNA
Source: RNAcentral
GGAAUAUUGGGCAAUGGAGGAAACUCUGACCCAGCAACGCCGCGUGAAUGAUGAAGGUCUUCGGAUUGUAAAGUUCUUUUCUAAGGGAAGAAGAAAGUGACGGUACCUUAGGAAUAAGCCUCGGCUAACUACGUGCCAGCAGCCGCGGUAAUACGGAGGAUGCGAGCGUUAUCCGGAUUUAUUGGGUUUAAAGGGUGCGUAGGCGGGCUGUUAAGUCAGCGGUCAAAUGUCGGGGCUCAACCCCGGCCUGCCGUUGAAACUGGCGGCCUCGAGUGGGCGAGAAGUAUGCGGAAUGCGUGGUGUAGCGGUGAAAUGCAUAGAUAUCACGCAGAACUCCGAUUGCGAAGGCAGCAUACCGGCGCCCUACUGACGCUGAGGCACGAAAGCGUGGGUAUCGAACAG